This is a long non-coding RNA of Orcinus orca (killer whale), 8077 nucleotides long. RefSeq lists it as uncharacterized. NCBI's taxonomy places the organism in Eukaryota, Metazoa, Chordata, Mammalia, Artiodactyla, Delphinidae. The record is from RefSeq and is a predicted model, not a curated record. The transcript is spliced from 4 exons.
GCCAGGCUGGCUGCAGCUUCCAGAUCCCAGACCUACAGAGGCCAAGUGGGUAGCUGCAUCUGCCCAGGGCUCCUGCUGCCCUCCGUGCCUGGGGGGCUGGGCCAGCCGCAUGGAUGAUUUCCAGGGUGAUACUAAAAAUAUUGAACGAUGGCAAUAUGCAAUAACAGGGUCCCAGAGGCCUCCUGCUCUACGAGGAGUUACCCUUUAACGUCUGGAUCGCGAGAAGACAUUAGUUCCUGGGGCCGCUGUACCAAAGUGCAGCAAAGUGAGUGACUUAAACAGCAGGUGACAUGGAACUCACAGGCCAGCAGAUCAAAGAAGUAGAAAUGAAGAGCGAGUAAUUAACAGAUGACCAGAUCUCUUCCCUAGCUUCCUCUUCAGUAAUCUCAUGAACAAACUGUGUGAACUAACUGUGUAAACAAGAUAGCAUCCAAAGAAGUCGACGAGUCUGCACACAGUGGGGGGAUGGCUAUGAGUCUCAUCUCCAUCUCAAUGAAAUUACUUCCCCCUUUCCUUUUAAAACUUUCAUGGCCGAACAGAAUCUCGGGAGUCGGUUUUCAGGGAAACGGAGUACACCUUCUCCCGGCUUUCUGAUUAAAAGCAGUGUUUUCUUUUCUACCAAAACCUGCCUCUCGAGUAUUGAUUUUCGAGUGGCGAGCAAAAGACCUAAGUUUGGUAACAGAUUUUUCGCCUUUUUUAGAUUACAGCCAGAGUUCCCUUCCCAAAACAUGCUUUAAAUCACAAUACCCUUCUAUUCAAAAACUGGCAAAGGGUGCCCAGAGUGUGCAGCUAGGCCAAACCCAAUAGCAUGGCUUUCCAGGCCCUCCAGGCUCCAUCCCUGCUUGCUUCUCCAGCCUCACCUUUCACCUUGCAGCGUGAUCAGGGUGUUCAUGAAGGGUCUUGUGCAUGAAUGAACAUGCGGAGGAGCAUGGCAAGUGUCAGAGAGCAGAACUUACUCUCUCAGGCUGCCCUGGAGCGUGACAAGCCACACCUCAGCCAUCCCAAGAGCUUCAGUUGUGUUGGCCCUUUGAAAGCACCUCACUAUAACAGCAGCUUAAGAGCAUCACUUAGCAACUGGUAGUUUUCAACAGGUAAAAACAUGCUCGUGGUGUGUGUCAACCUUUGGUUUCUGGUUAUUUGCCAAGCUGAAAUAGGCAGUGAAAAGGAAGCAAUGUAACACCAUGAUAUCCCAUAGAACAUGGGCUACUCUCCAGUUUCUGAAGAGGAAUUUGAGAUUUUCUUUAUACAAGUGAUACAAGUUGCAGAACAGGUGAGUGGAUACAGGAGAGACCUCUUUGAAGACCAGUAAAGUGGCCGUCCACAGUUAAGUAGAGUUGAUUUCUUCUGGCAUUGCCAAACUUUGGAGUUUCUCCUGUAGGGCCUCCAGACUCCAGCCCUUGGGCACUUGUUCCGGCAGCUCCUUCAGUGGAGGAUGCCCUGUCCCUUCUUCCUCACCUUUUGGAAUUGAGCUCAUCAGUCAAAGCCCUGCUUCAAUGCCUCCUCCUCCAUAAAGCCUUCCUUGAUUUUCUUCUCAGAGUUGCUUCCCCUGCCCCAGGAGAGUUUGCUCAUAUCCUAUUUUAGUGUAAAGUAAUGGAAGUAAACAGAGGCUUGGAUACAGACUCAAGUUUUUGUCCUGGGUCUGCCACAUGUUCGCUUUAAGACGCUGGCCCAAUUACCUAACAUUUCUAAGCCUCUGUUUUUCUCAUCUGUAAAGUGAAUAAUUGGAACUUCCUCAUAAGUUGUUGUAGGAUUAAAUGAGGUUAUACCUGUAAAGUACCGCAGCACUAACAUGUAACAGGCACUCAGCUUAUGUGAGGUAUGUUGAUGAUAGGGUGACGAUGAUCUUGAUUACCUGGUUGAUUCUGUCUUGAAUUACAGGUUCUUUUCACCUGUCUCCUCUACUGAACUAUAACCUCCUAGAAGAAGGAAAUGUUGUUUUGUUUUCUGUAUCUCAAACAUCUAUUGUACCCCUAGACCCUAGUAAGCACUCAGCAAAUGUCUUUUUAAAAUGCAAAAUGAGAUGAAGCAGACCCUAAAACUGAAACAUGAAAACACAUUUCUAGCUCAAUAUUUGGAAAGGACCCACAAUUUCUGGACUCAGCCAGAAGGGUAAUGAUUCUAUCAGAGAAACAUUUUUGCAGAUUUGUUGAAUGUUUUUGCCUGAGCUGCAGCGUGCCAGGGGAAACGUGAGGUCAGACGUACUUCUGACUUGUAUUUUGGAAUUCUUGUUGGCAUUUUGCCCUUGUUGAGUUCCUGUGGUUGUAGCUACAGGAUGCAGGGUGGGGUCACCUGGGAGUCGUUAACCCUGUUUUGGAAGCUGGCACUGCCCUGCUUGUUAAACACUUCCCUCCUCCACACACUAGGUGAUGGGCAGGGAAGGGACCGAGGGAUGGUCCAAGGCCAAUCUCACACACCACCCGUUAAUGUAUUGGUCCAGGGGGAACGGGCUGGCAUGUGUUUUCCCAUUCUUGGCACACAGAAGUGUUUGUUCUGCCAUGUCCAGGACAGCUGCAGGCCUUAAACAAUGGUGUAUGAUAUAUUUGGUAAAGUCUAUUUGAGUUCCAAAGGGUUGCUAAGCAUAUUAAGUAGCUAUCCUCCCUUUUCAAACCCAACCAGUGGUUCCGCAUUUAUCCAGGAGGAAUUUCACUUCGUUUCGUGAUUUUUUCAAGGUGUGUUUUACCUCUCCCUUCAAUCUCCCUAGCCUGUGGGAAAUGAUCACUGUGCCUCUCAACCUUCUAGCCAUGAGUGGUCAAUGUUAUGAAUAUCUUAAGAAUUAAAUUUUAAAAAUCCAUAGAUUAAAAUAUUUAAAGAUUAAUCACAAAUGAGUCUUAAUUCAUUCUGUAAUAGAAUCAUAGUUCUUUUUGUUCUGAUCCACCGUGUCGAUGUCAUGUCUAAACUGGCAAGAUGUCCUACCUAAAUGUACUGCAGGGUGUGGGUUAAUCUUUGGGGAGAACUCUGUUACACCACAGUAGCAAAACAUUGCUCCAAAUCCCUGCGUAAUAUGCCCCCGUUUUGUCUGCAUCAUGGCUCUAAAAAUAAUCACGAACUAAACAAGUUCUUCCCUUGGAGAAUGAGUCUUCAGUAGAAAUCCAAACAGAGUCAUGAAAUACUUGUUUCCCCAGAAUGAAUCGGACACAGGCCAGGAGUUGGUAGACGCCCUGUCAAGCUAUGAAAUAUAUUUUGUAUGGUUUUUUUUUUUAAACAAAAUUGCUUGUAAUUUGUAUGUUAUUUCGUAGUGUUUUCCUUGCACUUACAAGCUAUUAUGAGUAUUUUCUUAUGUCAUCAAAGAGUUUCCUCCACCAUCCUUUUUAAUGGUUGCAGAGUAUUUCAUUGAAUGAUUGUCCCAUAGUUUAUUUCCCUAAAAUAUUAUUGUUGGAUGCUUGGAAUAAUUAUAUCUUAAGAUAAUUUAUUAAUUCAUUUGUCAAAUAUCCAGCAGGCACCAAACACAUGCCAGGCCUUCUAGGGAUAAAUAAGACACAGUCCUGGUCCUUAAGAAGCUCCCAUUCUGGGGGAAAGAUCUUAUGAUAAACUGUGCUAGAGGAAGAAUUCUAGUCACAGAAUAAUGGACGUGGCACAGGCCACAGGCCAGACUUCUCUAAUGGGUGGGGACUGUCCCUAAAGCCUGCUAACCUCUCUCACUCCAAAGUGCUCGGGCCCUGAGCUCCACCUCUCAGAGGUGGGAGGCUUACCUUGGGCCAGGUGCCAGCAGUCUCCUCUCCUUUCCACCUUCUGCUAGGAGAAUGGGUAUCAACCCUUCUGCAUUCUAGUCUCAGCUGGUAGAUUUUUGAAAAAGCCAAUGCCCAGGCUGAGCAAUAAUAACGAGGAAUGGGGCUUGAGUGGUGGUGUGCUGAUAAAUAUUGAACCAUCAUCUCUCAAAAAAGUAUGCAUGUUUAUACAUAAAGUAUGCUUAUUAUAAAUUUUACCGGUAAAAAGGUGUUUAGGACACAACUUACAAAUAAUUUAAAACAUGCAACACUCCUUCUUGUAAAUUCCAUACUAACAGUUGAUUCUUACAGAAAGAUCUUGCCAAACCAGAGUCAACCUCUGGUUUGCGAAUGACAAAGGAAUAGAGUUUUCCCAUGAACAUUGGUUUAUAUUUUCAUUUAUGUUCAUGUAAGAGCAGCUUCUGGCAGGAAAGAGCUCUCUGCAGGAGGCACCCUUCUGUCUUAACCUUAAACCAGGCACCCCCAUGCUCUACUCAUCUCCAGCCCAAGCACACCUUUCCAUUCUUUUAGCCACACAAUACUUUGCCUAACUUUUCAGUUCUUUCCAUAGAUCAAAGAAGUAGAAAUGAAGAAUAAGUAAUUAACUGAGGACCAGAUAUCUUUCCUAGCUUCCCCUUCAGUAAUCUCACGAACAGACUGUGUGAACAAGACAGCAUCUAAAGAAAGAUCACAAGUCAACAAGCCCGCACGUACGCCUGCACGCAGCGGGGGCUGGCGACAACUCUGACCCCUCAUCUCAAUGAUUAACUGAGAUUGCUUCUCUUUUUCCCCUUAAAAACUUGCAUGGCCGAGCAGAUUCUUCACAGGUGGUUGAUCCAUCAUCUCCCCAGAUUGCCAGCAUUCUGAUUAAAGGCACCUUUCCUUUGCUACCAACAUUUGUGAGUACUGAUUUUGUAGGUGGUGAGCAGCAACACCCAAUUCGUUCAAUAACAUUAAUAAGUAAGAUGAGGGGCUUCCCUGGUGGCGCAGUGGUUGAGAGUCCGCCUGCCAAUGCAGGGGACAUGGGUUCGAGCCCUGGUCUGGGAAGAUCCCACAUGCCGUGGAGCAACUAGGCCCGUGAGCCACAACUACUGAGCCUGCACGUCUGGAGGCUGUGCUCCACAACAGGAGAGGCCGCGAUAGUGAGAGGCCCGCGCACCGCGAUGAAGAGUGGCUCCCGCUCGCCGCAACUAGAGAAAGCCCUCGCACAGAGACGAAGACCCAACACAGCCAAAAUUAAAUAAAUAAAUAAAUUAAAUUAAAAAAAUAAUAAGUACGAAGAAAGUGAACCAACCAAAAAGUGUGACACGAGCAACUUCUGCUGGAUUGGAUGAUGGUUUUUGAAUACUGGAAGAAUAUUUUCUCCCCUUUUUUGGGUAUGAUUCAUAAUAUGACAGCUACAAAAAAUGGUACUUUUUGUAGUUUAAUCUGCACUAUUUACAUUUUCUCCAUCAAUUUCUUGAGUGUAGGAGUUCAGUGUAAAAACAAAUCAAGCACUGAUUUGUAGUACUUGCUGAUUCCUAUGGUGUAGAUUCUCCCGUGGCCAAUUGCGAACCACUGAUGUGACAUCACGACGUGCAGAGCUGGAAGGAGGUGUGCAGCAAUGCCUCAUUGUAUAGAAUUUCCAUGGCAAUGAUAAAAGAGACCGAAGGGCCUCAGAAACAUAGGUAAUAGUAAAAUGUAGUAAAGUAAUUAGGAAAUCAUGGCUUUUGAGUAUUUUCUACCAUUAAAAAAUGUAAUUUACUUAAUUAUAAGCUUAUAUAGCUUAAUGUUUGAUUAUAUCCUGCAACACUUGUGAAAAUUUAAUAACCAGCUGUCAUAGGCCAGUAAAAGCUAGUCAUCAUGUACCACUGGGUGGAAGCCCAGGCAGAGGGAUUUUUCCUAAGCUUCCCAAGUGAUUUUGAUAUCUAGCCAUGGUUGAGAACCACUACCCAGGGCAGAUGUCUUCAAACUUUUUUGCUGGUUGUUGGGAAGGGGAAAUUUUCCCCAUUACCUCCCUUGAGUUCUUGUGGCUGGACUAAUAAUAAAACUGACCACAGUCAGAUUAACAGGAGAAAACGAAAUAAAUUUUAAUUUGUGCACAUGGAGGUCUCACAGAAAUGGUACCUAAGAAGUGGCCAAAGCUUUUAUACUUUUUUAGACAAAGAAACAAUAAAUGUGUGAGGAAUUGACAAGACAAAGAAUCUCAGGCUUCCGCUGCUUAAUUAGUGAUGAAUCUAAACAGAGUUUAGUCUUGGGGGAGUCAAUGAAAGAGGUAACAAGGUUUGUUUAUACCGGCUUCUCAGCUCCAAAUUUCCUGUCUCUGUUGAUAAGGGUGCAGGUGACGUAAUUCUCUCUGAGCAUGGGCAUCAAGUGCUAGAAAAAGCCUUCUGAGUUACCAUUAUGAUUAUCACCAGUUCACAAUUGAUUCAGGAACAGAACAUUUUGGCAAAUUACUUAGUUAUUAAACAAAAAAGUAAAAUGUUCUUGGAAAUGCAUCUCCAUGUAUAGAGAUGUAUAGAGAUUUUUCUCUCUGUUAGUUCAUGCUCACGAGUGUUUAUUAUUACAAGAAUGCAGCAGGGGCCAGCAUCAGUUCUAUUUCUAUUUUCCACUUUUAUAGAUGUAAGUUCUGAGAAGGCUUUCUCACAUAAACAAGUAGGUGGGAAUAGGAGAGGGUUUGCUUCAGACUUUACCCAAUUCUUCGAUUUGUUAAAGAGAAAAGCCACAGGCCCCAAAUGGCCACUUGUUCUAAAGCCCAUGAUACUGAUGCUGAAAACUCAACCCCUAUGCACCAGUGCCAAAGCAAAUCUUGGAGACAAAGUUGUGGGUGAAGUAGAAAAGAAUAGCCUUAUUGCUUUGCAGGCAAAGGGAGACACGGUGGGCUCAUAUCCCUCAAAACGGUGUGUCCCAACCCAGGGGGAUUUGGUGAGGAGUUUUAUAGCAAUGGUUCAAGGGUGGAGUUGCUGUUAAGGACCGGGGUGUGUGCAGGGCCUGCACUCCUUUAAUCUGGGCUAACAUGGUCUCCUGAUGAGCUUCUCUGGUUCUCCAGAAAUGAAGAAUGCUUUAUCAAGUGGUUAAAAUCUUCCAUUUGCUGGGGGUUUUAGUUCUGUAGAUGAGCUCAAAGAUACUGUUAUAUGUAUCCCCUGAGGCAGGACCAGGGCCUGCCCCAAGGCUGCAUUAUUGUUUCCUGACUGCUCCUGCAUUGUCUCUGCAUAACCUCCCUUCCCUGACUAGCAACUGUAUGAACCUGCCCUUUGGAACUCAGGGAAGGUCAAGAGAUGGGGGGACACAGAAAGGCUUUUGUGCCCAGGAGCCCCAUAGUGUCUGCUCAGUUUCAAUACCAAACCCGAAUUUAAUACCUGACCUAAUUGCAGUUUCAACCUUCUCCUAGAAGGUAGUCUUAAUUGGCCAGUCCAGAAUUUUCUGGUCAGCUCUGAUGAAGUUAUCUGUCACAGGAGCCCUCUCUAUCUCCCAACGGAAGAAGAGGUAAUCUGCAUGGUAGACCCUCACCCUUCCCCCAAAAGAAAGUGACCAGGUCUGAGACAAUCUUUUCUUUUGUUAAUAACUUCUUUGCCCCGUUCAUCUUCUAUGCAAACCCUCCAUUCUGUACAGCUCCUGAAACACCUCUCCGGUUGCUAGGUAGGAUGUUCCCUGAUCUGUGAAUCACUGAAUAAAGCCAAAUAGAGCCAAUUUACUUGGUUGAAUUUUUGGUUUUUAACAGAUUGUUUUCCAAGUUGUGUGCCAAAAUUCCCAUAAUUAUCUCUCAUCAAAAAUGACUUUUAAUACUCUAUCAGAACAGUUAGGUCCAUCUUCAAUUUAGUUGGAAGAAUGGAAACCCUCUGACUAACACAAAGGGUAUUUAGACGUGGGUAUUUCUAACUGUCCCUUUGUUUCGCAUUCUGAGGUCUUUUACACCCCAAGUGUUGACUGAAAAAAAAAAAGCACAACCUAAAAGUUGAGCAUUAUGCUUCACUUGGCAGACAAAAUUGAGGACAUGAGCCCGGGACACAGCCUCUCAGAUAGCUCUGAGGGACUGCUCUGAAGAGGUCAGCGGGGAGCCAGGAUAGGUAGGAGUUUUUGCUGCAAAGACCAGGCAGUCAGAACAUCAAACGAUUACUGUUAAUUAAAGAAAACCAGAUAUCUCAAGUUAAGCAAUUUAGCGCUUUUCUUUGUAUGGGAAGUUGCAAGGGUCUGGGCUCAUUGAAAGCAUUCCCUUGAAAUGUACCCCAGCUCUCUGGGGCCAGCAUCCUGUGCUUUCUCAUCCCAAGUCUCUAGUCAGGGUGCACCGUUGGAGAGUGGCUGCAGUGGCUGACUGCUAGGUGGUGGGCAUCCUGUUUCCAUCCUGAGUUUCCUCAGGGCUCGCCGUGGGGGGUGGCUGUAAAGAGAUGGCUUGA